RNAcentral lists this long non-coding RNA (417 nucleotides) under Oryza sativa tropical japonica subgroup. RNAcentral describes it as "lncRNA OsCMeo_07g0009450". RNAcentral also lists the same sequence under 1 other name. Lineage: Eukaryota; Viridiplantae; Streptophyta; Magnoliopsida; Poales; Poaceae. The record is from RNAcentral.
CCGUUGGUUGUAAAGCCCGGCAUAAACCAAACCCAAGGUCGAAGUGCUGCUCCUGGCACCCCAUGCCUUGAUGCGUACAGCGGUCGGAGCUUCACUAUUCCCUCGACCUCCACAGCACGCCGCACAGUUAGCUCUCGGGCUCUGUGUGUGAUCCUAGCCGCCACUCACGGUUGUCGGAGUAACACUUCCGCCCCACUAAACCCACACAAACCUCCUAUCCCUCUAGCCCCCGGCAAAACCAAACCUAAGGUCGAAGUGCUGCUCCUGGCACCCCACGCCUCGAUGCGUAUAGUGGUCGGAGCUUCACUGUUCCCUCGACCUCCACAGCACGCCGCACAGUUAGCUCUUGGGCUCUGUGUGAUCCUAACCGUUCUGCUGCCACUCACGGUUGUCGGAGUAACACUUCCGCCCCACUAA